This 450-nucleotide ribosomal RNA is filed under the name Bacillus sp. (in: firmicutes). RNAcentral describes it as "bacterial SSU rRNA". It matches the Rfam family "Bacterial small subunit ribosomal RNA", at positions 333 to 773 of the family's 1533-position model. Lineage: Bacteria; Bacillati; Bacillota; Bacilli; Caryophanales; Bacillaceae. The record is from RNAcentral.
CUACUCCUACCGGGGAGGCAGCAGUAGGGAAUCUUCCGCAAUGGACGAAAGUCUGACGGAGCAACGCCGCGUGAGUGAUGAAGGUUUUCGGAUCGUAAAGCUCUGUUGUUAGGGAAGAACAAGUACCGUUCGAAUAGGGCGGUACCUUGACGGUACCUAACCAGAAAGCCACGGCUAACUACGUGCCAGCAGCCGCGGUAAUACGUAGGUGGCAAGCGUUGUCCGGAAUUAUUGGGCGUAAAGGGCUCGCAGGCGGUUUCUUAAGUCUGAUGUGAAAGCCCCCGGCUCAACCGGGGAGGGUCAUUGGAAACUGGGGAACUUGAGUGCAGAAGAGGAGAGUGGAAUUCCACGUGUAGCGGUGAAAUGCGUAGAGAUGUGGAGGAACACCAGUGGCGAAGGCGACUCUCUGGUCUGUAACUGACGCUGAGAGCGAAAAGGCUUAGAGCCUUU